This 136-nucleotide small nucleolar RNA is filed under the name Suricata suricatta (meerkat). Lineage: Eukaryota; Metazoa; Chordata; Mammalia; Carnivora; Herpestidae. The record is from RNAcentral.
AUAGUUCACUGAACUAAAAAUUUCACAAAGAACUCACAAGUGCAGCUAGUGAGCUACAGGAGAGCAAGUCUUUCGCUAACACCACAAGGGUCUCUGGACCAAUGAGUGGAGUUUGAUAGUAAUUCUUGCUACAAGA